Molecule: long non-coding RNA, 6665 nt
Organism: Taeniopygia guttata (zebra finch)
Lineage: Eukaryota; Metazoa; Chordata; Aves; Passeriformes; Estrildidae
Source: Ensembl
GUCAGGUUGCAAGACAGAAGCUGAAAUGCAGCAAAGGGAAGAGAUGCAGAGAUCUGCCAGACUGAAUGUCCAUCCUCUCUCCUGCAAAACUUGCCCAUCUGGCUUUUUCAAAUGUCCCUCAGUGCAUGGAUUUUGGGGGGGUGAAAAAGUCUGAACUGCCUAUCCUUGGGUCUGCAGGGUGCUGAAUUGCAGAUGGGUGACUCUGGGAACUCUGCUGCUCAGACAAAAGUGAAAACUGUGGAAUGCCUUUAAAUGGGCUGCUUGCUUGAGAGACAUAGUUAGCUCUGAGCUGUUUGCUUGUCCCAAGGAGUGGGUGGAACAAGGUGAGAAAAUGUGUGGAGGAAUAAAAGAGCCAAGGAAAGAGAAAAGCUGGUUUUAGGAGGCAACUGAGUAUCUUGGGUUGGGAAAUCAAGACAGAUUUGGGGAGUGUGGUGUAGAAUUUUAAGUAGCACAAUGGGUACAAGCAAAAACAAAAGAAAAUAGCAAUGUACUGCAGCUCCAGGAAAAGUUAUCUGUGAAGCUGGGCAAAUACUGGUUUAAAAAGGAGGCAGAAACCAAUAAAAUCAAGGGACCAUUUAUACAGGUGGGAAACAAAAUCACUAGGCUUUGUGGUUUUCUGUGACUUUUUUUUUUUUUUUCCUGUAAGAAAAUACAACUAAAAGAAGGUCUCAAAAGUUAUGCUGUUUCAGGGACACAGACAGAAGUAUCAUAUGAGCUGUUUCCUUUCACGUGAAAGGCUCUUACUUCCCAGAACUCAAAUGUGUAGGUUUCCUUACUUCAGGAUAUGGGGUGAAGAUUGCAGACACGGUCACCACAAGCCCCCAAAGCCAGAGUUUGUUCAGCAUGUUAUCUUAAUUUUUUUUUAAAAUCUUUCUAAUUUCCUCCCUCCCCAGGGAGUAUCUACAUCCUUUCCUGAUCUGGCCAGGAAUCAGCUGAAGCACUACAGCCAUGGCUUGUACCCAAUGUUUUUGUAACAGCUCUAGGUGUGUUCUCUGGCUGUAAGGCAAUGAUGAGAAUAAGCAAGGGAAAUAAAGGAGAUCUUGGCUGUGAUACCACACUGUGGUGGCUCCUCUGAUAGCUGGAAGGCUCUGGACAUCAACAGGCUGAGACUCACAGGCACAGGCGUGUCUUGGUGAAAACAAGUUUUCUUCUCCAUUUAUGUUCAGUGGCUUUCUGAUGAAUGGUGGGCUCAUGGACCCUUGGCAUAUGGUGGUGUGUCCAAAUGAGUACCAAAAAUAGAAGAAGAGAAAAUUCCCUCCUCAGCACUGCUUUUCAGGAGUGGAUAGACUUGCUUAAGUCUAAGGCAGCUUCUCCACUCCCGCACCAAGGCGUCUCUUACAUCAGUACCCAUUUAAUAUUUACAUAGCCGCUAAAUCCUAAAAAUUCUUUUCCCUUUGCUGCUGUCCUUGAAAGUAGAGAUAUUGAGUUUCAAGCCUGGAGAAAGUAGGUGUUUUCAAAACAUCUGUUCUGGCUGACAGUGUCAUAAAUGACACAGGCAGAGAUGUCAGUCGCUGCUCUGAGAGGAAUGGAGGAGAAUUCCAUCUCUCCUGUGCCUCUUUUUCCUUUCCCAUGCAACACUGAGCCAUGAAACUGCUCCCUGAGAGAAGUGACUGGAGUCCUAUUGCUUGCAGUUUUGAAAAAACUGAACUGUGGAAAGAGAUAAGAGACUGAAAAGAAGGAAGGACAAAAUAUUCCAGCUUUCCCCAACAGUUAAGUAAGCUGGUAGAUCGCUUUCAUGUUGGAGGCUCGGGUUUACAUGGACCCAAUCUGACAGCUCUUUCCAAACUAAAGGAAUGACCAUUGGUUCCUCCUCCCUUCUGUUAGCCCCACAAUUUUAGCAUCUCUGCAAGGGGAAGAGGCAUCACAAAUCUAACCAUUGCUUCCCCACGCUGUCAGGAGUCCUCCACAGGAACUGCUCUCCCUCCCAGCACAAGUGACUGAUCCCACUGCUGGAAACUGGAACAGUUGUUCUGAGGGGGAGUUUAACUGCAGAACUACUGGCAGCUUAGGACAAGGUCCCAGCAGGGAAGGGCUGAAAUACCUCUAAAGAAAAUCAUAGCUCUGGGCGGUCCAAAUGUCUUCUUGCAUGUUUUCUCUUGCUCUCUGCUGGCUUCCAACCUCUCCAGUCUUUGCUGCUUGAUACUCAGAGAACUGAGUUUCUGCAUUCCCUCCCUCUACUGAGCUCAGAGGACUGGUGAAGCAGUUUGAUUUCAGUGUGGUAGGUGAGAUCUGAUUUCUCCCUCCAUGCCCUCUUCUUUUUCUCCCUGUGCAGCUCCUGUCCUUGCAGUUCUCAGGACUUGACUAGCAGAGUUUUUAAAUGAAGUGCAAGUCUUAAUGUGAGGUGAAUCCCAAGACCACAAACAGUUUGGACUUCAAACAGUGAGAAAAUUGGCGCCGGAUGAUUCCGCACACAAAGCAGAAAACUUUCAUUUCCUGCAGGCAGGAUGGAAUUGACUGUUAUAUUAAGACUUCAGAAGGAGCACUGCCCCGGAGUAAUUUCACUGCUGUCAGGCAGUGUUGACAUCUAGAUUAACCUCUGUGCAGUGAAUUUUACAGCAACGCUCAUUGUAAUGCAUGUGGGGUAUCUCCUGUAAAUCCCAGCUGAAGCCCACAGUGUCCCACCCUUCUGCACAGGAGGAAGGGUUGGGGAGCAGCUGCUAUCAUUUCUGACCCCAGCAAAGCAUGACUCCAACCUCAUCCAGGCCACUUCUGCUGAAACUGAUUUUCUGCUGUGCUAAAGUGACAAUAGCUCCAGCCUGUAUUUUUUUUUUCUAAUUCCCCAAAGAGGUUUACAUCACAGGCUGAAAUUUUUGCCAGUGACAAACAGCUCCCUUCAUGUAUCCAGCCAGCAGUACAGUCCUAAUUAAAAGGCACUAGUUAACUAGAGGCAAUUAGCUGCUUGCACUGAUUAUUUCCAAGACAUACAAUCCCCAAACACAAAGCUCUGAUCAGAUGUGAUCUAAAUGGCAGACAAACUCCCAGCUGAUGUGAGAUGGUGGCAUCCAAUCCUACUCACCAGCACACAGGCACAAAAUGAGCCCUGCCUACCAAACCACAAUUGCAUGAAUUAAAGAAAUGCACAGAGUUAACUCAGUGCAAGCCAGAGGACAUUGCAAAAGAAGCCCCUUGGCUCCAGAAAUGAAUGCUGCUGCUGAUAAGUUGAAAGCAUAGGCCUGACCCCAAGUCCUUCUGUCUUUUGCUGUAGGAGGAGCUUGAGCAGUGGGAUUUCCUAGGCAGGACCGCAACAGCUUCUUCACUUUUGUGCUAGCAGAGACAAUCCUGUCUGUGGUUCUUAAGAUGCAUCUCUGAAAAUAACUUUGUGAAAAAAACCCCAAAAAACCCACACUAUCAUGUAAAAAAUAUAGAAAAGAAAGGGAAGGUUUCUUUGUAUAGUUUUGCCACACCUGCUUAUUCAUUCACUUAUUUUCCCACUCAGACAUUGCUCUGCAGUCAUCUGCAGGAGGUUCUAGGCGAGUGAAAAUCUAUCAGGUGCUGAAGAGAUCAACCACUAGCCCUAAGGGCAAAAUUCCAAUAGUACAUCUACAAAUAUCUUUCAGAGCCCAUCUCUCCUCUCACCCACAGCUCUUCACAGUAGCCUUGCCAUUAUAUUUGCCAAAGGUUUUGGACAGCCUGUGAAGAGGUGAGAUAUCUUCAGUUUCCCCUUAACUUCAGGAGGAAUUGUGACAUUUCUGUAAUUCGACCCAUCAGGAGGAUUCCUUCAAACUAACAUUUAUUACCUCCAAUCAGAAUACAGCUGAAAAGGCUACCCAAGGUUAUAGAAAAGGUCAAGCUCUUGCUUUGGACUGGAAUUUGCUUUGGAAGGAAUUUGAUGGACCAAUUUAACCACCACAGCACAUCAAAACCUGGUGGCUUCAUUUAAAAAGUAAUCAGUAUUGUAUUUCGCUUUAGACAUCCGUGCAUUAGUGUUCUGCAAAUAUGAUUUCCUCUUUGUUUGCAUUAUUGAUGCCAUAAAAUGUCAGACACAUUAAAGAAAAAAAAAAAGAGGCCAACCUUUGGGGUUUGGAAUGAUUCUAGCUGAAUUGCAGUUGGGUUACUUUCCUUUUUAUUUCCCAUGGCAGCGAUGCACUGUUACUCAUUCUGCUAUUGUUUUACAAAGAGUUCUCAGUAAGUGUAUUUAUUCAGCCAACCAUAUUUCAGGAAACACAUAACCUUGAUAUUUUUUCCUGUAUGUGGCAGCAUAUGUGAAUGUGUGUUGGGGAGAGGAGGGCAGGUGGAGCUUUUUACAAGAGCCCUCCCAUGUCUGGUAGUGUGUUGGCUUUGUGCAAUGCUCCAUGAAUCCCUCCUGCUCAGGUGCCUGGCUUGAUUUAACCUCAAGAACUGACUUUUGUAAUCAGGAUUUAAGGUCUUCCGGUUUAGCACUGCCCAGGAUCUGUCAUCUGCUCUCACCAUUCAGCAGCCAUCUGCUAUCCACAGAGGUUCCUAGAUGUCUAUGCCACAGAGAUUACACAGUAAUUGAGUCUCAGGCAUGCGAUACAGGAGUUUUAGCUCAUUCUGAUCCUGGACCAACUGCAAGUUUGCUGAUUUAGCUUGGUUCCCACCCAAGGUUCACUGACUACAGUUCCCAAGACAAAUACUCUUAGCUGCUCAGUGCUGUUUCUCACACACCAUUACAAUACAAGCCUUGGCGGCUGUAGCUCUCUGCCUCACCUCUCUGUAAUGAAUGCAGGUCCAUUUUUCAGUGAUCCUGGAAAUUUUUUGAAGGAUAUUCUCCCUCCUAAAAUCUAAGACAUUCUCAAAUAUUCUGUCUUCUUGAAAAGUGAAGAAAUAAGGUGGAAAUAUUCCCCCUGUGUAGAUAUUUUCAUCAGUGGUAAAAUUUCAGCUUUUCCUCUCAAUGACAGCAGGACUUGGGUGCAGGAGAAGAAUACAGUGGAGCAGUCUAAGGAAGGGUCUCAGCUAGGACUGCAAAGUCAUCUGUUCACCUACUGAGCCAUCACCUCCUCAUACAGGAAGAUAUCCCCAGCUUUUUUUGAGCUUCAGAUUCCUGCCCAGCUCUCUUGCUCCUACUCCAGUGCUGAGGAAUGACCUUCAGAUGACCUUCAGAUUUCCUUAUCUUCACAGAUCCUUCCCAGGACUAUCCAAACAGCCCAAAGAAGUGAUGACAGGGUCUGAAUGGGUGUGUAAUUCAGUGUCUUUCUCUCCCUUUUUCAUCAGGGCAGAGAUAGUGAAAGUGGCAGAACAGAAAUAUUAUUUUCCCCAACAGCAGUGAUCCAGUUUCUUUUUAAACUCCGAUUUUUAAGAUGCCAUACAGCAGUACCUAUAAAUAUGCCUUGAUAUGUUGAAUGAGCACACGAGUAUAUUUGAUUUUGUUUUUAUGCCUAUAAUUUCUCUCACCAAGAAUUCAGCCGUUACUCAGCUCCCAGCAGGUUGUUCUGAUUGCUGGAGAGAUGGUUGGGAUUGAUUCCGGCUGUGACCUGUUCCAGUCCGGCCUCAUUCUUAUGUAGCUAGAUUGAAACAAUAGAAAUCAGCAAGAGACUGAAUUGUUGUUCCUGUGCAACUGAACCUUCUUGUGCAACUCCAGGCUAAAUGUAGCAGGCGUUGAUGACCCACAACUUUGAAGUCAGUAAAGCUGUAGAUACUGAGAGGCACUGUUAGGAACAGAACGGCAGGAGAGAGAGAAAUGCUACAAGAGGAAAAAAAACCCAACCAACAAACAUUACAUCAGAAAAGACAGUGGUUGAUUUAUAAUAUAAGAAAAUCCACUGCUGUACAUGAGAAAAGACACAGAAUAUUCACCCUGGUAACCAAGAACAUUGGCCACUAGGACAAGAGCAGCUCAAACCUCCUCUCACUUUUAAUUUCCUUUUUCUCCUUCUCCUGCUAAUACAGAACAAAUCCUGGCUUAUGGCCUUCCUGGAGACUGAAAUUAAGAGGCAGAUUUAGGAGAGGUGGAGAGAGACUGGAUCCUGCUGGAUGAUGCAACAGCUUUAUAGCCCAGCACCUCUCAGCAGCAAGUGCCUGGUGUGCCCUUGCUUUUAUUUAUUUUUUUAAUUACAACCCCUAAUUGCUUCAAGUAGUGUUCACAAAGAGCCUACAACAGUUCAGUCCCCAGACUCCUGGUAAGACGGAGAUUUCAGCAGACGGACAGACGGACAGCCGCGUCCCUGCGGAUCAGCACCGCGGACAGCGGCACCGCCCGCUCCGGCCGCCGCCGCGGGAGGAGCCGCGCCUUCCAUGGAGGAAUCCCACUUUGGAUGGAGUCAUGCCCACACUGCCCGCGGAACUGCUGUCUCACCCACAGUUCGUUUCUCCCAUGUGUUUUUCUAGUGUGAAAUCAUUAUAUGGUAUCUUGUUUUCAGGUGGUGGAGGAGGGAUGGUUUAAAACAGAAACCAAUCAUUCCAAUGCAAGAGAGAACCAGUUUUUCCUUCAGAGUUAAACUCUCUGCCCCACUUUUUCCUGCACUGGUGUUCCACCUACGAAGGCUCCAACUCUAGUUUGGACUGUGGAAGGUUCUUAUCUUCUCAUCCAUUGAGACAGUUUGACAAAUGGAGAGAUACUAUGCUGGUAGCUCUUUAGAAACAGAAUCCUUAUUUUAUUGGAAGCAUCAUGUGAUUCAGAUUUCAUCCAUCAAUUGCACUUACUGUUUGUAAAGGGCAAACAGACAAAUCUCUUGGCAAAUUGCAAGUAAGGGACAUAUAAAUGACAC